This 122-nucleotide ribosomal RNA is filed under the name Propithecus coquereli (Coquerel's sifaka). The record is from RNAcentral. Lineage: Eukaryota; Metazoa; Chordata; Mammalia; Primates; Indriidae.
GUCUACGGCCAUAUGACCCUGAACAUGCUCAUUCUCAUCUGAUCUCAGAAGCUAAGCAGGGUCAGGCCUGGUUAGUACUUGGAUGGGAGAAGACUGCGUGAAGACCGAGGCAGAGGUUGGAG